UCGAGGAUUAUUCGCAAUGGGCGAAAGCCUGACGAUGCGACGCUGUGUGAACGAUGAAGGCCUUCGGGUCGUAAAGUUCUUUCGCCUGGGGACAAGAGAGAUCGGAGAACAUCCAGUUGAUUUGAGGGUACCAGGUAAAGAAGCACCGGCUAACUCCGUGCCAGCAGCUGCGGUAAUACGGAGGGUGCAAGCAUUAAUCGGAAUUAUUGGGCGUAAAGGGCGCGUAGGCGGAUCGAUAAGAUAUGUGUGAAAUACCGGGGCUCAACCUCGGUGCGGCACGUAUGACUGCUCAUCUAGAGGUAUGGUGGGGAAAACGGAAUUCCACGUGUAGCGGUGAAAUGCGUAGAUAUGUGGAAGAACACCUGUGGCGAAAGCGGUUUUCCAACUUAAACCUGACGCUGAGGCGCGAGAGCAAGGGGAGCAAACAGGAUUAGAUACCCCCGUAGUCC
Molecule: ribosomal RNA, 449 nt
Filed under: uncultured bacterium
Lineage: Bacteria
Description: bacterial SSU rRNA
Rfam family: Bacterial small subunit ribosomal RNA
Source: RNAcentral